UACGAAGGGUGCAAGCGUUGUUCGGAUUUAUUGGGCGUAAAGCGCGCGCAGGCGGAUCAGCAAGUCAGAUGUGAAAUCUCGGAGCUCAACUCCGAAACUGCGUCUGAAACUACUAGUCUAGAAUGUCGGAGGGGGCAGGGGAAUUUCACGUGUAGGGGUAAAAUCCGUAGAGAUGUGAAGGAACACCAGGGGCGAAGGCGCCUGCCUGGACGACUAUUGACGCUGAGGCGCGAAAGCGUGGGGAGCAAACAGG
This 253-nucleotide ribosomal RNA is filed under the name uncultured bacterium. Its description in RNAcentral is "partial 16S ribosomal RNA". It matches the Rfam family "Bacterial small subunit ribosomal RNA", at positions 524 to 776 of the family's 1533-position model. The record is from RNAcentral.